RNAcentral lists this long non-coding RNA (2149 nucleotides) under Hordeum vulgare. RNAcentral's name for it is "long non-coding RNA (HVUL_LNC020866)". Lineage: Eukaryota; Viridiplantae; Streptophyta; Magnoliopsida; Poales; Poaceae. The record is from RNAcentral.
UCAUAAACGGAAUAGUACAGAAAAAGUUGCAAGACACAGGAUAUCGAUAGCUUGGUAUUGUUCCAUCCUUGAACGAGCAUGGAAUUACAGCCUCCUUCCUCUUCUACCACCCUUCCGGCGAGUGCUGUCAGUUGGGACUGGAGUAACAUCCUCUGCUCAACAGAAAAGAAAAACAUAUGGAUUAACCCACUGUAAGAUAUCAUAAAUUAAACUGGAAAAAUUAAGCUUCAAAUCACAGUAAACUGACAUCCAAGGCAAAAUUAAAUCAACAUUGAUCAUAAUGUUAUACUAUGAACAGAAAGGACAAGCAAAACAUCAGUCCAUAUCAAAACCAAGGAAGCCAGGUAACGAAACAAUUCCAUGAACUAUUGACAUCCAGACAAAACUAAAAGAAAAAAAAAAGCCUUGCAAAUACAAUGUCUAGCAGAUUAGAUUUAUCCCAGAAGCAAAUGAGAUGAAAUGCCACGGCAAAGCAUACAAGAGGGCAUCAAAGGAUUACCAAUGCGUCCAAUCUUCAUGCCAGAACGUGCAAGAGCUCUAAGCGCAGCUUGAGCACCAGGACCUGGAGUUUUUGUCUUGUUUCCACCAGUAGCACGGAGCUUAAUGUGCAGAGCAGUAAUUCCAAGCUCCUAAACAGGAAAAGAUUACCAUAUGUAUCAGUGGAUUCAACAAAUUUGGGUACACCAUAUUUGAUCAUGCAACAAAUCAAUUUUUUAAUACCUUGCAUCUUACAGCAACAUCCUGUGAUGCAAGCAUAGCUGCAUAAGGGGAUGAUUCAUCACGAUCAGCUUUAACCUUCAUCCCACCUGUAAAAUGUAAUUGUUCAGUACAAACACAAAUUUACAAGAUGCGAUAAGAAUCUAAUAGAUGUUAAGUAUCAGAGAAGAUCGUACAGUCAAUUACUCAUCAGUGUGUGUCAUGGCAGAUACAAGUUUUAGCUAGGAAGGUAUAAAUAGCCUAGAAAAAACAUUCAAGUCAUAGCGAACUCAGUUUCUACUGGUAAAUGCAGAGAAGAAAAUUGGCCCUGCAGAAUGCAUAAUAAAACUGGCAUGGGAGAACUCAUCUGUACAGAGGUACAGAUAAAUUAUAAAAACUGCACAGGCUCAAUUACUGAAUCUAAUCAUUUGGCCGCAUAAUAAUGACUUCACUCCUUCAAACACCGACACAAUACAACACAUUGAAUAUUCUACUACUAAUACAUAUUAUAUUCCAAAAGAAAUCUCAAUUGUUCUGAAGAAAUUAUACAGCCAAGAUCUAAAAUCUUCAAAUGUAAAUUGUACAAGUAAUCACAAACAAAAGAAUGUUCUUCCAACAUUUAGAUGGCUCCAUUUUAAUUGACAAAGAGUUGCAAGGGUGUAGAACUCUGCAGAAGCAAGACAGAGAACUGCUGCUUCAUACCGACCAUACAUCACAAGAAACUUAAUGGCAAGAUGAAGACACCUGUAAACAAAAUUGGAAGUUGAGUUCUACAGAAAAACUCUCAAGAGCCUCAUAUGAAUCUUGCACAGCAAUGACUCGACACGCUCCCACAGAACAAAAGGGAGGCGAUCUUAAGGGCGGUGCUUACAAAAGGUUGAUAGGAUUAAGAAUGAAACACAAUAGCAAAGACAGCAUGACCAGAAGAGCUUCAAGUUGGUUCAUAACAAGUGAGCAGGACAAACAGAACUCAACAAUCUCACUCACAUAAGAACCUAUAAUUUUCACAGAAAUAGAAGACCACAGCCAGAUCACAAACUGAAGAGCCAACAGUUCUUGGAUAAGGAUAUGUCGCUCAAAUACUCUAUUGUGUUUCUGCACGAACCAAUUCCAUUAAAUAAGAAUAUGUUCGUUCAGUGAAAUUUUUUUACAUCAGAACCCACCAACAUGGGUGACAAAAUGAAUUUGGCUCAGCGAAACAGUCAUAUCAAGCAUGUUCACUUCCAGAAUUUAGGCAGCUCCAUCUAAUGUCACAGAGAGUUGCAAGAGUGAAGAACACAGCAUGAGCAGUGCAUAAAGCAGCUGCUGCCUGCUGGCUACAUGCACUACAAGAAACCCAAUGAAAUGAUGGAAACAGCUAGAACUAAAACAGGAAGAGAAGAGGUUCCAGAGAAGAACUCUCCGGAUCCUCGUUUUCAAUCUUGCAUGGCUAUGACUCGACACGCUCCCACAG